GAUGAACGCUGGCGGCGUGCCUAAUACAUGCAAGUCGAGCGAACAGACGAGGAGCUUGCUCCUCUGACGUUAGCGGCGGACGUGUGAGUAACACGUGGAUAACCUCCCUAUAAGACUGGGAUAAAUUCGGGAAACCGGAGCUAAUACCGGAUAAUAUAUUGAACCGCAUGGUUCAAUAGUGAAAGACGGUUUUGCUGUCACUUAUAGAUGGAUCCGCGCCGCAUUAGCUAGUUGGUAAGGUAACGGCUUACCAAGGCAACGAUGCGUAGCCGACCUGAGAGGGUGAUCGGCCACACUGGAACUGAGACACGGUCCAGACUCCUACGGGAGGCAGCAGUAGGGAAUCUUCCGCAAUGGGCGAAAGCCUGACGGAGCAACGCCGCGUGAGUGAUGAAGGUCUUCGGAUCGUAAAACUCUGUUAUUAGGGAAGAACAAAUUUGUACGUAACUAUGCACGUCUUGACGGUACCUAAUCAGAAAGCAACGGCUAACUACGUG
This 497-nucleotide ribosomal RNA is filed under the name uncultured bacterium. Its description in RNAcentral is "partial 16S ribosomal RNA". It matches the Rfam family "Bacterial small subunit ribosomal RNA", at positions 28 to 507 of the family's 1533-position model. The record is from RNAcentral.